Carassius auratus (goldfish) is the source of this 4429-nucleotide long non-coding RNA. The record is from Ensembl. Lineage: Eukaryota; Metazoa; Chordata; Actinopteri; Cypriniformes; Cyprinidae.
UCACAUUGCUGUUGGCAGUUAAAACCAGUUUAACUCUGACUCAGUGGAGAAUCACACGUCAUGCUUGAGGUUUCAAGAGGAAGAAAAUUGCGAGUGUGCAGUUUGCACCAUAACCUAGUUCUAAAGGGUGGGGGUCUCUGUGUGGCCCAGUAGGUCAUGUUCUCUAAUAGAUUACUUAUUCCAUUAUUUGCAGUUUGGCACUAUAAAAUGAGUCGAUCAUAACUAUCAGUGAUUUAUAAAACUCAUUGACCACUUCCAUUUAUUUUAAUUUGUUUGCACAUACACAUUAUGUAUUUUUUCAAAUAUAAAUCUCAAGAUGAUAUUUCACCCGAAUUAAAAGAUAAACAUUAAAUAAAAAAAUAAAAAGAUGUUACAUAGAUUAAAAAUAAUUGCCCACUUCCUGAUAUCCUUCCUACCAUUUAACUACAUAAACCACACACAGAAGAGAAUCAGCCAAGUAAAAAAAAAGUGUCCUACAACUGAUUUUUGUUCUUUAUUUAAAAACUGUUGUUGUCAUAUGUUAUAGCUUCCAAUAUAUAUCAGAAUGAACACAGUACAUUCACUAAUGUCAAAAUACUGAUAGUGAGAGCUGAAAGUUCAAUACAUUUUGAAGCAAAAUGCUAAUCAUUUAAUUGUGAUGCAAUCUUGAAUCUCAUCAGGUCUUAAAUUGUGUUUAGUGUACAGAGGGCUACUAAACAAUCUAUAUAUAGCCAUUACAUAUCAGAUAAAUAGAACUGAAAGAGUUAAAGAUAAAUAGACAUUUAGUAAAAGAAAGGGUGGUGUCCCACUUCCUGUAGAUCUCAGUCUUCAAGACCACCAGCUGUAUAAGUAAUCAUGCAUACCAGAAGUAAAGAUCUGACUGUGUCUGGUGGGUCUGUACACUUCUCACAAUAUGGCAUUGCUUCUGUCCUUCGUGAUCCUCUUGACUCUGACAUUCCACGCUUGUCUGAGUGAGCCAGACAUGCUGCACCCGUCUCAGCCCUGCACCAGAGGAGAAAACAAGAAUGCUUACAACACUUUUCUUAAACGACACGUACGUGAAGGCACACCAACCGAUCUGAAAAAAGAAAACUGGGAGAAGUUCAUUGACCGCAUCGGCACCUGGAACAGGACGACUCAGUCAUUCUUUCCCUUCAGUGAGAAAACCAGUGUGGAAGCUGUGUGUUCAUCAGGAGGACAGGUGUGUGAGCGCAACCUCUGCAUCAGCAAGAAGUCUUUUUCCUUCAUCACUGUAAAGAUUGACAGUAAAGAGAAAAAAAUCAAAAGUGUCAAGCGUCAGAAACAGCAUGUUAUUCUUGCCUGUGAUAAAUUUGGAGACAAAUGUCUCCCUGAUCAUUUUGAGGCAAAUCGAAAAAAAUGUAAACCAAAUAACAACAAACCAGACUGCGGUAAGCUGAAUCGCAAUUCUGAUUAUGAAAAAAUGUUUCCAUGGCUGUAAUAGAAGACAAAUGACCUGCAGAACUGCAGAAAACUGCUUUUUCUGUGGGUUGAUGAAAUUGUUAAUGUUGAAAAAUAUAAAUAAAUGUCACACAUACAUAUAACAACUUUCUUGCUUAUAUUAUGUUUCAGCUACAGGUUUUCUUGUUCAGAACACAUUAAAUUAGUUUCAGGAGAGACAAACCAGCACCUACAAAUCUCCACAGAGAGUUUGGUUUUAUUUUAAAUACAUGUAUUGUAUAAAUACAUGUAUUUAUAAUUUCUUGCAAAAGUAGCCUAUACAUAACGGGCUCCAAAAUAUAUCACCGCCCUGCCGGACAGUCAUUCUUGAACAGUGAUUUAAAAUUCCUAACUUGAUUCGCUUUGUUCACUCGCUUGAAGGGGUGAAACGGACCGUAGUUGAUCGUUUGCACUUGUUUAUAAAUCUUGUCGAUUCAAACGUUUCAAACAAUUCGCGCGCAUUUGGAGAUACGCGCACACAUUCAAAGCACGCGCUGAGAGCGUUUCAGACCAUGCGCGUACACAUGAAUGAUUGAUUCAUCUUUCGCUUAUCCUAGCUUCUGAAUGAACACAUACACACAAAAUUAUCUCAAAAUAAUUGUCUCUGCAAGUAUUCUCGCAAACACAGUCGAUUAUGUCUUAAGUGAAUGUAUACAGUGGCUAAAGAAAUCUCCUGUGCAUUAUUAUAUUGGAUCUGUGCACUUGGUCUUAAAGGGGCAGCAGCCUUUAAAUACCCGCUGUUCCAUUAGUGGCACCUGCUGUCAGAGAGUGUCAUUUGGAUAGUAAUUCAUAUGGUUUCCUCUGAUUUAAAACAGAGCACCAACAAAUCUUUUGUUUAAAUUGAGAUAUUUAUUUUAGUUGUAUGAUUUUUUAUUUGAUUUAGGAUGUUUAAAAAUUUCAAGUUCGUUUUAUUAGUUAACAUUUCAAUUUCACAACGAAAUAUGCAGCAUUUUGUCUUUUGUCUAAUAAUAAAAGGAUUCAUUUUCAUUUAUAAUUUGUCUUAAAUCUCAUUUUGUAAAUAAAUAAAUAAAUAUACAGAUAAAUUUAUGGUGUAAUCUGUAAUAUGAAUGGUAUUGCAUUGGAAGUUUAUUGAAUCAUUACAUCCAGAUAUGCUACUAGUUUUUGCUGUCAAUUUUGACUCAGCGAUUCUUUUGCGACUCUUUUUAACUUAAAGUUUGGUCCAUUCUUUAAAUAAAUCUAUUGUAUAACUUGUUUUGGCUACUUUUAUUAUGUGUUUGGUCUGUCUGGAUUCGUUCUGAAGCUUGGAAUGCAGCAUGAAACAGCAAGGAAUCCCAUUCAUUGUAUUCAAAUUCAAUUUAUAUUGAUUGGAAUAUUUAAAUGACAUAACUUAUUUUAUAUGUUCUUAAAAAUAAAAUGCAAAGAAACCACAAAUUUUAUAGCUGGUAGAUGUCGGAAAUAGCAUAAAAACAAGGCAUCAAGUUCCUUUGUGUUACAAAGUUUAAGUAUUUCAAAGUAUCCUAAAGUAUUUAGAUUAAAGGGUUAGUUCGCCCAAAAAUUAAAAUGAUGUCAUUAAUAACUCACCCAUAUGCUUUUCCAAACAUGUAAGACCUCCUUUUAUCUUCGUAACCCUUUAAGUUACUAAACCUGAGUAAUAUAAUGACAUACGUGACUGAUUACUUUUUAAAGCUUGUAUUUUGUAAUCUGUAGUGAAAUACAUUUUAAAAGUAACCUUCCCAGCCCUGUAUACUGUGUGUGUGUAUAUAUAUAUAUAUAUAUAUAUAUAUAUAUAUAUAUAUUACAUCGGCUCACGAUCAAAACUGGGAAAGCUAAAAAGGCUGAUGUGUCAUAACAAUUGAAAAUAGCGAUUGAAACUCAGAGAGAUAUACACCACCCGAAAAAAUAUAUAUAUAACGUUGUUAAGCUAAAGGAAGUGAAAAGAUACUGUCCACAUUAAAAGAAGAACUUCACAAACACCAACACAUAGGUCUGCAGUGUGAACAUUUCGGCAAGUAUCAUUAUGUAAUCUUGCCCAUUCACAUGUAUAGAGUUGCUAUCUGUUAGAGACAGAACCACGUGCAUGCCACAGACGCCAGCAGAGCUGUAGUUUAUAGCAUGCUAUUUUUAGAUGACUUUGAGAGAGGACCUGAAGACCCUGGCCGGUAACCUGUGUAUCAGUAAAGAUAAAUUAUCUUUUAUGUUUUUUUAUGUUUUAUGUUCUCUUUAUUACGUUUUAGCUUUGAUUCCCAUCCACUUAAAUAAUAAGACAAAGUCAAAUCAGGCAAAUGUUUCCGUUAAAAAUCUCAGUUUGUGUUCUACUGAAGAAACAAAGUCACCUACAUCCUGUAUGCUCUGUGGGUAAACAGAUAAACAUCACAUUUACAUUUUUGGGGUGAACUAUCCCUUUAAACUGCACUUUUAUUUAUUGUUUGCCGCCAGGGGGCUCUUGUUCUCCACAUUUUACUCAAUUGACUGAACAGAAUAGGCUUUUUACUUUAUGAACCUGAACAAAACGUUAAGAUUCGUGUUAAUGCAGAAAAGUCUAUUUUUAUCCGGACCAGAAAGCACUAUAUGUAUUAAUUACAAGCUUGUAUGGUAGGUGAGUUGUACAGUGUAGACUAAGUUGUGAAAGCACUGAUUUGUGAACGCUCUCAAGGAUGGAUUUUGUUACCUCACUUUAUCCACGAGAUGACACUAUUGCUCAAAUUUAUAUCGUAAGGCACGAGGCUUUCAGUUCAUUUUGGCAGUCGCCCCUUUUUUUCUCAGUAAAAUUUCCUUACAAGCUCAUUAUUAAGACUUCUUAGCAUCAGAACGAGACUUCUACCUACAAAAUGUCUUAUAAUUAAUUUGAAUCUUGAAAACUCGAUUCAGAAUUCUUUCCUCCCUUUUUUAUCACUUCUAUAUUUUAAAGUUUUAUGUGUAAUUUCUAGCAUAAGCAAACCUAAUCCCCCCCCCCCCCCCCAAAAAAAAAAUUUGAAUAGGGUGUACAAAUGCCCAAAUGCAUUAACACAAAUAUAUAUAUAUAUAUAUAUAU